UCUGCAGGCUGACGCUCUAUCUAUUGAGCCAAAUCAGCUAGGGCAUGCAUGUGCUUCUGGCAUUGGCUUUUGAGAGGAGAGUGAGGGAAAAUUUGGGGAGGGAGGUGAUUCCCACCCCUGGGAAUGCCGACACAGAUGGCAUAUGAGUGAGACUGUCACAGAUUCUGAGUGGAACUCAGUCACCCCCUCCUGUGGGGCAUCAUCGCUGAAUACAGCUUUAUAUUGCAGGUGAACAGGAAAUGGACUUAAUGGACUGAGUUCAUUUAGAUGGAGGAUCAAAUGAAUGAGUGGAAUCAGAAGACAUCCAUUUGGCCGUCAGUCUUUGUUUAAGCCACUCGACCACCCAACUUCUCUACUGAAAUGGCAUCGCAGUCCCCGUAUAAAGUCUGCGGCGGAGACAUGAGUACGUGCUAAGUGCUUUGAAGAUGAACAUCACCACGCGAAAGUGAGCAAGGUUUCUUCCUGGGGCUGGAAACGGCAUCUUUUGUGUUUUCCUGCUGCGCCGUGAGUCACCUCGGUUGACACUGCAGAAAAUUUCCUCUCCCAACAGAAGAGCAGGACACAGUGGUGACAGCCUUUUAUUGGGUUUGCCAGGCCAAUUAAGAAAGAGCCGGAGCCCGUUCACAUCUGGACAAGGGAUUACACACCGGGCACAUUUGCUACCUAUGGAUGCAGGUCACAUUUUACAUGAAUCUGUACAUUAAGAAAUUGCAUGACAAUUAUCUUAUUGAGACAUGCAUGAGGAGCAACCAUCCCCUCAAAGCACUGAAGACCGACAAAAAGCACUGUCCCUCCAGCAAGCUUGGCUCACCUCUCUCAGUGCAUGUAAAGAUCCCAUCAAGCCCUCGCCCAAACCAAGGGGACGUUGAGCUUUAUCUGCUUGGAAGAUGUGAGUAUUUUUAGUGGGAGGAGCUUAGAAGAACGGCAGGUUUGGAAGUGAAGUGUGAACCGUUGGGCAAGACCCAGCCCCGUCUGUCUGUCUGAAUCUGGCCCCGACCGACCAGCCCACUGGCUCCCAGGGAAAGGAGCCAGCAAGGUGUCCCAUGUCCCAGGCUUGGCAGGAGUUCUCCUCCCCACACCCAAAUACCUCGUUUGUCUGUUUUCCGCCUGCCACCUGCUGGGACACAGUGAUAAUCAGUCAUGCUAGGUUGUCGGUUGACAAUUACUGAGUUUUGACAGGCCCCUUCAGGAAGAUUGCACGACCCCCAUGCAAGUUCGGAUCCGAGCCACUGGUGGCCGCGCUCCUCUUUGCGCCCAGUGGGGAACUCGGUGCGUCACUGUCAGCCUGGUAGCACCUCCCUCCCAGCUGCACCCCUCAAUUGGUCACAGCUGAGAGAGGCAUUCACAGCAUGGCGAGCAGGGGCCACUCCCACUGAGGGAGGAGUGUGGGGAGCUCACUGUGGGGAGGGGGCUGAGGGAGGGAGUCGUGGGGGUGGAGAGGCGGUUGGAUGCAUCAGAGGGAAUUGCAGAGCUGCUGGAUGAGGUCCUGAAAACGGGCUAAAAUGACCAAGGGGAGGAGAGAAACUCCUCUCGGACAGAUUCAGAUGCAGGCAAAGUCCAAGAGACCUGGAGGAGUUAAUGGGAAAAUAAUUCUUAUCUGCUUCCUGCCAAUCUGUAGCCAUUGACAGAGCAGAAGUAAUUAUAGAUACUGUAGACGCAUGCAGCAUUAAGUAAAGUGUUUCAAAUUA
This is a long non-coding RNA of Myotis lucifugus (little brown bat), 1688 nucleotides long. RefSeq lists it as uncharacterized. The record is from RefSeq and is a predicted model, not a curated record. The transcript is spliced from 2 exons. Lineage: Eukaryota; Metazoa; Chordata; Mammalia; Chiroptera; Vespertilionidae.